UCCCUUUGACUUGGGUGAAGUUGUCUGAGAACGGGACAUAGUCAUACGCUUUUAAUCCCUAAUUUUUGCCUGGACCGCCUUUUCAGGUUUUCAGUCCACCAGGAUACCCUUUUUUGCCCAAGCCGCCUUUUCAGGUUUUCGACUUGCCGGGUGUACAUUUUUAUAUGUUUAUCCCUAAUUUUUGCCCGAACCCUUUUGGUUCGCCGGGAUGCCCUUACUUUUGCCUAGAUACGUCGACCUAGCGGGUCUC
RNAcentral lists this long non-coding RNA (250 nucleotides) under Lathyrus oleraceus (garden pea). RNAcentral describes it as "Pisum sativum (pea) long non-coding RNA (PSAT_LNC021445)". The record is from RNAcentral. Lineage: Eukaryota; Viridiplantae; Streptophyta; Magnoliopsida; Fabales; Fabaceae.